This 668-nucleotide ribosomal RNA is filed under the name uncultured bacterium. Its description in RNAcentral is "bacterial SSU rRNA". It matches the Rfam family "Bacterial small subunit ribosomal RNA", at positions 162 to 828 of the family's 1533-position model. The record is from RNAcentral.
GCUAAACCCGCGUACAUGCCACCGGGGCAUCCCGGAGGCAGGAAAGGCUUCGGCCGGACAGGGAUGGGCAUGCGGCGCAUUAGGCAGUAGGCGGGGUUACGGCCCACCUAACCGACGAUGCGUAGGGGUUCUGAGAGGAAGGUCCCCCACACUGGUACUGAGACACGGACCAGACUCCUACGGGAGGCAGCAGUGAGGAAUAUUGGUCAAUGGUCGGGAGACUGAACCAGCCAAGCCGCGUGAGGGAUGAAGGUACAGAGUAUCGUAAACCUCUUUUGUCAGGGAACAAAGGCGGGGACGUGUCCCCGGAUGAGUGUACCUGAAGAAAAAGCAUCGGCUAACUCCGUGCCAGCAGCCGCGGUAAUACGGAGGAUGCGAGCGUUAUCCGGAUUUAUUGGGUUUAAAGGGUGCGCAGGCGGUCUGUUAAGUCAGCGGUCAAAGCCCGGGGCUCAACCCCGGUCCGCCGUUGAAACUGGCAGUCUCGAGUUGGAGAGAAGUAUGCGGAAUGCGCGGUGUAGCGGUGAAAUGCAUAGAUAUCGCGCAGAACUCCGAUUGCGAAGGCAGCAUGCCGGCUCCACACUGACGCUGAGGCACGAAAGCGUGGGUAUCGAACAGGAUUAGAUACCCUGGUAGUCCACGCAGUAAACGAUGAAUACUGGCUGUCCGGG